GGUGAGGUGUCCGAGUGGCUGAAGGAGCACGCCUGGAAAGUGUGUAUACGGCAACGUAUCGGGGGUUCGAAUCCCCCCCUCAGGGCUGCCCCGCAGGGGCGAGCGAAGCGAGUCAAUCCCCCCCUCACCGCCA
Molecule: transfer RNA, 133 nt
Filed under: Klebsiella sp.
Lineage: Bacteria; Pseudomonadati; Pseudomonadota; Gammaproteobacteria; Enterobacterales; Enterobacteriaceae
Description: tRNA-Ser
Rfam family: tRNA (bases 3-82)
About the family: Transfer RNA (tRNA) molecules are approximately 80 nucleotides in length. Their secondary structure includes four short double-helical elements and three loops (D, anti-codon, and T loops).
Source: RNAcentral